This 88-nucleotide transfer RNA is filed under the name Pseudocercospora fijiensis CIRAD86. It matches the Rfam family "tRNA". From Rfam's summary of the family: Transfer RNA (tRNA) molecules are approximately 80 nucleotides in length. Their secondary structure includes four short double-helical elements and three loops (D, anti-codon, and T loops). Further hydrogen bonds mediate the characteristic L-shaped molecular structure. tRNAs have two regions of fundamental functional importance: the anti-codon, which is responsible for specific mRNA codon recognition, and the 3' end, to which the tRNAs corresponding amino acid is attached (by aminoacyl-tRNA synthetases). tRNAs cope with the degeneracy of the genetic code in two manners: having more than one tRNA (with a specific anti-codon) for a particular amino acid; and 'wobble' base-pairing, i.e. permitting non-standard base-pairing at the 3rd anti-codon position. Lineage: Eukaryota; Fungi; Ascomycota; Dothideomycetes; Mycosphaerellales; Mycosphaerellaceae. The record is from Rfam by way of RNAcentral.
GACAUCCUCGUCAAGUGGACUGAUCGUUUUAAACGAUCAACUCAAGCCAGUCUCUUCGGAGGCGAGAGUUCGAAUCUCUCAGGUGUCG